Cinara cedri is the source of this 877-nucleotide non-coding RNA. Lineage: Eukaryota; Metazoa; Arthropoda; Insecta; Hemiptera; Aphididae. The record is from the annotation of a GenBank genome assembly.
AAUAUGUAAUAAAGUAUAAAUAUAAACAGAGAGAGAUUAGAGUUCAAGUUAAAAUAAUCCUAAAAUUCCAUCAAUAUUUUAAAUUGUUAACAUAUGAAAUUUCUAUUUAAUUAAUGUAGUUUUAAAUAUCUAUAUAAGUAAUAUCAAAAUAUAUGAUUUUAAACUUGAUAAAUUAGUAUAAUUGAUAAAUAUACAAGAAAUUCAUGAAUAAAUCCUUUUAUUUACACAAAGUUGAGAUAAAGUAAUGAAUAUUUAAGUAGAUUGAUAUGGUUUGAAUUAAAAAUAUGUAAUUCAGUAAUUAGUUAAAUAUUGAAAUAAGUAGUCAAUUAUUAUAUUAUUGAGCGUUUGUAUUACUAUAUGGUAUUGUGGGUAUUUCGUAUUACAAGUGUAACAUGGAAAAUGGGUCAUUAGAAAAUGAUAUUAUUUGUAGGAAGUAAGUUGUCAACCAUUAUUUGUAAGCUUUGUUCAUUUUAAUGGAAUUUAAUUGGAAUAAAUAAAACUAUUGAAUAGUUAAUAUUCAAACUUUCUUGAUACCUUGAUAGAUUAGCUGCUAUAUCAAAUAGGCCAUCUUUUAUCGCUACUAAUUUUGCUACAUCAAACUUAUUUAACCUUGUGUUUAUGAAUAAACAAUAUUAAUGAAUUAUAAUUAUUCAUGUUUAUUGAAACCUAAUUCCACACUGAUCCUUACUUGAAUAUAAAUUUGGUGUUACAUAAAAUGCUUUGUCAUGUGUACGCAACAAUUUUUUAUGAAUAAAGAAAUUAUGAAUUAGACUUGGCACACAUACUUAGCAUGUUUAUGUUUAGUUAUUAAAUGAUUUAUAACAUACCGGGACAAACAUUGGUUACAUGAAAAUGUUAAUUGUUAUUUGGUUUUUGU